This 500-nucleotide ribosomal RNA is filed under the name uncultured bacterium. RNAcentral's name for it is "partial 16S ribosomal RNA". It matches the Rfam family "Bacterial small subunit ribosomal RNA", at positions 30 to 523 of the family's 1533-position model. The record is from RNAcentral.
AUUGAACGCUGGCGGCAUGCUUUACACAUGCAAGUCGAACGGUAACAGGGUGCUUGCACCGCUGACGAGUGGCGAACGGGUGAGUAAUGCGUCGGAACGUGCCGAGUAGUGGGGGAUAACGCAGCGAAAGUUGUGCUAAUACCGCAUACGUACUGAGGUAGAAAGUGGGGGACCUUCGGGCCUCACGCUAUUCGAGCGGCCGACGUCUGAUUAGCUAGUAGGUGAGGUAAAGGCUCACCUAGGCGAUGAUCAGUAGCGGGUCUGAGAGGUUGAUCCGCCACACUGGGACUGGGACACGUGCCAGACGCCGACGGGAGGCAGCAGUGGGGAAGUUUGGACAAUGGGCGAAAGCCUGAGCCAGCCAUGCGGCGUGUCUGAAGAAGGCCUUCGGGUUGUAAAGGACUUUUGUCAGGGAAGAAAUCCCUAGUGCUGAUAACACUGGGGGAUGACAGUACCUGAAGAAUAAGCACCGGCUAACUACGUGCCAGCCGCCGCAGUAA